Heterocephalus glaber (naked mole-rat) is the source of this 144-nucleotide non-coding RNA. The record is from Rfam. NCBI's taxonomy places the organism in Eukaryota, Metazoa, Chordata, Mammalia, Rodentia, Bathyergidae.
AGCUUUGCGCAGUGGCAGUAUCAUAGCCAAUGAGGUUUAUCCGAGGCGCGAGUAUUGCUAAUUAAACAAGAGAAGCAUAUUUGGAUCAUAGUCCUGGAGAAUGAGAAGUCCAGUAUGCUGUAAUUUUUAUGGUUUAGAUCUAAA